AAGGGUGUAGCUCAGGGGUAGAGUGCGUACUUAGCAUACAUGAGGUCCUGGGUUCAAUCCCCAGCACCUCCA
This 72-nucleotide transfer RNA is filed under the name Camelus dromedarius (Arabian camel). It matches the Rfam family "tRNA". From Rfam's summary of the family: Transfer RNA (tRNA) molecules are approximately 80 nucleotides in length. The record is from Rfam by way of RNAcentral. RNAcentral also lists the same sequence under 1 other name. Lineage: Eukaryota; Metazoa; Chordata; Mammalia; Artiodactyla; Camelidae.